Molecule: ribosomal RNA, 492 nt
Filed under: uncultured bacterium
Lineage: Bacteria
Description: partial 16S ribosomal RNA
Rfam family: Bacterial small subunit ribosomal RNA
Source: RNAcentral
AUUGAACGCUGGCGGCAUGCUUUACACAUGCAAGUCGAGCGGUAACAGGCCUUCGGGUGCUGACGAGUGGCGAACGGGUGAGUAAUGCAUCGGAACGUACCCAGAGGUGGGGGAUAACGCAGCGAAAGCUGUGCUAAUACCGCAUGUGAUCUGAGGAUGAAAGCGGGGGACCGAGCAGCAAUGUUUGGCCUCGCGCCUUUGGAGCGGCCGAUGUCGGAGUAGCUAGUUGGUGGGGUAAAGGCCUACCAAGGCGACGAUCCGUAGCUGGUCUGAGAGGACGACCAGCCACACUGGGACUGAGACACGGCCCAGACUCCUACGGGAGGCAGCAGUGGGGAAUUUUGGACAAUGGGCGCAAGCCUGAUCCAGCAAUGCCGCGUGCGGGAAGAAGGCCUUCGGGUUGUAAACCGCUUUUGGCAGGAACGAAACGGUGUCCGCUAAUACCGGGCGCUAAUGACGGUACCUGCAGAAUAAGCACCGGCUAACUACGUG